AUUGAACGCUGGCGGAAUGCUUUACACAUGCAAGUCGAACGGUAGAGGGGGCAACCCCUCGAGAGUGGCGAACGGGUGAGUAAUAUAUCGGAACGUGCCCAGUCGUGGGGGAUAACGUAGCGAAAGUUACGCUAAAACCGCAUACGAUCUAAGGAUGAAAGCGGGGGAUCGCAAGACCUCGCGCGAUUGGAGCGGCCGAUAUCAGAUUAGGUAGUUGGUGGGGUAAAGGCUCACCAAGCCAACGAUCUGUAGCUGGUCUGAGAGGACGACCAGCCACACUGGAACUGAGUCACGGUCCAGACUCCUACGGGAGGCAUCAGUGAGGAAUUGUGGACAAUUGACGCAAGUCUGAUCCAGCCAUUCCGCGUGCAGGAUGAAGGCCCUCGGUUUGUAAACUGCUUUUGUACGGAACGAAAAGGUCUCUCUUAAUACGGGGGACUCAUGACGGUACCGUAAGAAUAAGCACCGGCUAACUACGUGCCAGCCGCCGCGGUAA
Molecule: ribosomal RNA, 496 nt
Filed under: uncultured bacterium
Lineage: Bacteria
Description: partial 16S ribosomal RNA
Rfam family: Bacterial small subunit ribosomal RNA
Source: RNAcentral